This 210-nucleotide long non-coding RNA is filed under the name Mytilus galloprovincialis (Mediterranean mussel). The record is from RNAcentral. Lineage: Eukaryota; Metazoa; Mollusca; Bivalvia; Mytilida; Mytilidae.
CGAUUUGAUUCUGUUAUUACACACUUUUUAAACAAAUUACUUCCCUUUGUCAAUCUUAGACUGGUUCUAUACCGCACAAUAUUGGCUGUUGCCAAUGCAAAGCAUGAUGAAUUGAAAAUAAUGUAUCGUCAUUUUAACUAGUUUUUCAUGAAAAAUAAUUUCUGAUGUCGUAAGUAUUCAACUAAACAACAAAUUAAUGUAAUUAUGAGA